GUCUACGUGCACCGACGGCGGCACAGCUCGUAUGCUCCCCCUCCUGGAGCCAUUCCACGAUUGGUCUCUGACAGUGGUGCUGCGUCAGUCAGGUCGUUUUCUGUGGUGCUCCACCACGCAGCACUACAAGACCUGCCUCAAGGCGGAAACGUGUGCCGCCAUUGCCGGCCUCGAUGCAGUCGUCUUCAGUUUUGGACGUGCGGAGCGUUGUGGCACGGUGCCGAAGAAGCUGGCGCGCAGCUAUCAGACUUCCGGCCACCUCAUCCUAUCCACAGCCGUGUCUGCGGCGGAGUGGGCAGAGCGCCACCAGGGCGUUUCCGGUUUCAACGAGCUAGUGACCGCGGUGCAGAGGGAACUACCUUCGCGACGCUCACUGAGUCUUUUGCCACCCCGUGCUGGUGGUCGUGAUGCCGUGCUCCCACAGCGGCGGGCGCGUGCACGCCGUCAGCGUUCUUAUGUGCAGCCGCCACGGCGGCGUUUGCUUUGGUUCUGCUGCGCCGAGCGAUGCAGCGGCGCUUGUUGAGAGGAUCCACCGGGACGAUGCAGUGGUGCUGGACUGACCGAAGGACCGUGUGCAAGGACGGACGAAAUCGUCAUCGAGAGGACGUCUGCCUCAGCUUCGAUGUGCAGCGUGCACGUCCACACACACAGACACACGCACAUACCCACCACCGCUCCUUUUCUAAGCUCCAACACCUCUGGUCGUGUGUGCCGGGUGCGAAAAGGAGGAAGCAAAUGGGCGUGUCGCUAUGAUGGGUGUACGUGUGGUGUGCCGCUGCAGCCAUACGAGUACUUUGAUCACGCGCCAGGCCUGCUUGCACGAGUCCUCCGUUGCUUCACUGGUUGUUGCCGAUGCGCUUCCGUCCGCUUGCAUGUCUCGUGCAUGACGCAACGUACAGGUCCUACCGCCAUCGUGCAGCUCCGCUAGAGCACGUCGGCGUCGCAGCUGGGCCUCCCACGCACGACGCCCCUUCGCUUUUUUUGUGUGUUGUUCUUUCCGCGUCGCACUACAGUGUCCUACUCCUUUGCGUGCGAGCCGGUGUCUCCUGCUGCCAGCGCACCGCCCUACCGCCCUUCUCCCUCCCUCCAAGCCCGCGGUGCGCUCGCCAACGUAUUCACUGCGCCAACGCGCCACUCAGCACAGACAGCCAAAGCAACUCGCCAAGUACUUCGUUCUGUGUCCAUUGCGUGUCCGCGUAGCAGAACCCCACCCCCUGUCGCCUCUACUGCCUGCUCGUACUCCAUGUGCGAGUCGGGGUGAUUGCAUGUGUAGGACCCCUCCAUCCAAAGAGGGAUAAGGAAGCAGCUGCAUGGGCAAUGGCAUGUUUGGUUGUCUGUGUGCGCCCCCCCUCCCUCCCUCCCUCUCCUUGUGCUGCUGUCAUUGUGCUAAACUGGGCAGAUGAGAGAGAGAGAGGCAGCGGAGGCACUUCAGAGAAAAAGCGAAAAGGAUCGGGGUGCGCACAGAACGGCCCUUGCUGCGCUUAUCUUCACUCUCCUUGGCCCGCCGCUCUGCACCCGUCCCUGCCGUCUGUCUUAGCACAUGUGCUGCAAUCUCCCCGGUCAUGCUGUGUGUCUGCUUUCCUUGUCUCCCCCUUCCCUCGUUGCUUGACCCGGUUCGCAUGCGUGCACACGCGCCACAACUUCAAUCAG
RNAcentral lists this unclassified non-coding RNA (1650 nucleotides) under Leishmania donovani. Its description in RNAcentral is "gene:LdHU3.31.0330(CDS-product:hypothetical_prote in_conserved)". The record is from RNAcentral. Lineage: Eukaryota; Euglenozoa; Kinetoplastea; Trypanosomatida; Trypanosomatidae.